This is a long non-coding RNA of Drosophila rhopaloa, 277 nucleotides long. RefSeq lists it as uncharacterized. NCBI's taxonomy places the organism in Eukaryota, Metazoa, Arthropoda, Insecta, Diptera, Drosophilidae. The transcript is spliced from 3 exons. The record is from RefSeq and is a predicted model, not a curated record.
UCUGAUCAUUCGGCUUGGAACCCGGUUGUCUGGUCCUAAAUCAACUACAAAAUUUUGAAUUUUUUCAUUAAAAAACUUAGCGAACUUUAAAGGUUUUAAGGCUCUGGCAGUUUCUACUAUAGUUCAAAAAAACGGGCUCUUGGCUGGUGUACUUCUGGACCAGGAACAAAUGGAUCUGGAUCGCUAGUUUCCCCGCUGUGUGAUACGAACAAUCUUGCCAAAUAGGUGAUUCAAAUCUGGAAGAUCUGUAAACCAUUCUAGAAUGUCGUCAAUAUAA